AUACAGAGGGUGCGAGCGUUAAUCGGAAUUACUGGGCGUAAAGCGCGCGUAGGCGGCUUAUUAAGUCAGAUGUGAAAUCCCCGGGCUCAACCUGGGAACUGCAUCUGAUACUGGUAAGCUAGAGUUUUGGAGAGGGAAGUAGAAUUUCAGGUGUAGCGGUGAAAUGCAUAGAGAUCUGAAGGAACACCAGUGGCGAAGGCGACUCCCUGGACUUGAACUGACGCUGAGGUACGAAAGCGUGGGUAGCAAACGGGAUUAGAAACCCCAGUAGUCC
This 274-nucleotide ribosomal RNA is filed under the name uncultured bacterium. RNAcentral's name for it is "partial 16S ribosomal RNA". It matches the Rfam family "Bacterial small subunit ribosomal RNA", at positions 523 to 796 of the family's 1533-position model. The record is from RNAcentral.